Molecule: long non-coding RNA, 220 nt
Filed under: Carica papaya (papaya)
Lineage: Eukaryota; Viridiplantae; Streptophyta; Magnoliopsida; Brassicales; Caricaceae
Description: long non-coding RNA (CPAP_LNC004078)
Source: RNAcentral
CCGAGGUAAGUGGACAGUAAAGGAUUUUAUUACUGAUAAAAGAAUUUGUUAUAAAUUAUGCUACUGUUUCUAUUGCUACUAUUGUUACUAUUUUUACUACUGCUACUACCGCUACUAUCACUGCUACUACUACUGCUGCUAAUAUUGCUACUGCUACUACUGCUAAUACUACUACCACUACUAAUGUAUUAUAUGUAACAUCAUAAAAAAUCUAGUUUAU